UACGUAGGGGGCAAGCGUUAUCCGGAUUUACUGGGUGUAAAGGGAGCGUAGACGGCGGAGCAAGUCUGAAGUGAAAGCCCCGGGCUUAACCCGGGAACUGCUUUGGAAACUGUACUGCUAGAGUGCUGGAGAGGUAAGCGGAAUUCCUAGUGUAGCGGUGAAAUGCGUAGAUAUUAGGAGGAACACCAGUGGCGAAGGCGGCUUACUGGACAGUCACUGACGCUGAGGUUCGAAAGCGUGGGUAGCAAACAGG
Molecule: ribosomal RNA, 253 nt
Filed under: uncultured bacterium
Lineage: Bacteria
Description: partial 16S ribosomal RNA
Rfam family: Bacterial small subunit ribosomal RNA
Source: RNAcentral